GGAGUUCGGGUUUGGGCGUUUAACUCUGUUGUGAGUGACUUCUGCCAGAGCUUGCAUCGUGGUCGCAACCCAAGGUGAAGGGUAGCAGCAAGUGGAAGAGACUUUGCUAAGCUUAGAGUGACAAGGGAGAAAGAACGUGGGGCUGUCAAUAAAACAAGGGCCAAGGGUGGAAACGCUGCACUUAAUCCGCCAAAAAUCGAGGUCUUGCAGCAGAAGCCAUGGCAGGCCUAGCUGUCUGGGAAAAACUGUUACGUUUUGUUGAGGUUUGGGACGCCAGAGGACAUCAUAGGACUUGUAUUUGGCCACACGGUUGAGCAUCCGACUGUACUUUGGAAGCUGGAUGGCAGACCUGUAAAGGCUGAAUGGAACUUUGAGUGACACGAUGGGGAUGUUCAGUGAGACCAUGACAGCCUGCAACUGAACUCUAUCCUUAAUGUGAUGAUGUUCCUGUGAUAGCUAGUGCUUUAAACAGAUCUCUUUUUUAUUUAAGUGACAGGGGUUCCAAAUUGUUAAUUCUGUUUUGUUUUUUAGCAGAUCAGUAAGGACAAAAAAGUGAUUGACCCAGUCUAAUGUGGUAGGAAUAAGUGAAAUACUAAGGCUGGGUCCCUUGCUCUACUUCCUCUCAGGCACCCAUUCAUUUGAAUAGAAUUCUCUAAGGGCCACAGACAUUUCUAGUACCUUCUUCCAGAUAACAGAAAAUUAAAGCCAUCAUGUAACAUGUCCUACCUCCCUGCUCUGUCAAUGCCUUAUUUGUCUACCUCAGAAGAUAAAUUGUACUCCCUCCACCA
Molecule: long non-coding RNA, 788 nt
Organism: Carlito syrichta (Philippine tarsier)
Lineage: Eukaryota; Metazoa; Chordata; Mammalia; Primates; Tarsiidae
Exons: 3
Source: RefSeq, a predicted model, not a curated record